Molecule: small RNA, 668 nt
Filed under: Pan troglodytes (chimpanzee)
Lineage: Eukaryota; Metazoa; Chordata; Mammalia; Primates; Hominidae
Description: processed transcript
Source: RNAcentral
ACCCCGCAGCGAGACCUGAACUCUCCUUCUGUCUUCUGUCUCCUUCAUCUGUUCUCUGAAGACACUAACAACACUUCUGUCUUUUGGAAACUUCCAGCUGGUCAAAGAGAUUGCCGAUGAAGACCCCAGCCACGUGAACUUGGUCAAUGGGGACGGGGCGACGCCACUGAUGCUAGCAGCUGUUACGGGGCAGCUGGCUCUGGUGCAGCUGCUGGUGGAGAGGCAUGCGGAUGUUGACAAGCAGGACAGCGUGCAUGGCUGGACGGCCCUCAUGCAGGCAACCUACCAUGGGUCAGUGCCAGCUCCACGCCCUCAGCGACAAGGCCAGACAGAUGCUCUGGCCUGAGAUGGAGGUUCCCAAUGGGCUCUUCUGGUCCUGAGAUGCUGCAUACAAACCCCAGGACUAUGACGACAUUGAGGCAUGAAAAAAAAAAGCGGCACAGGCUCAUUUUAUUCCCACCCUUCUGUGUCCAGAUUUCCUGUUCCCCCAUCACAGAAUUUCACAAUGGCCCUGAAAAACCAUGCAGCAGGAGCAUUUUAUGCAGAGAGAUAAGGUUCUCUAGGUUGGUUUCAGUUGAACACAGUGACUGAUUCAUUGGAGUUUUCACAUUGAGAUAUAGUGACCUCCUUAAGUAGCUCCUGUAUGAAGUAAACAUUGGUUAUUCAUA